ACAGAAAGGGGAACAAGUUCCAAACACUUCUAGAAAUCAGUUCCCAAAAACGCAUUAAAUUGGAGACUACACUUGAACUUUCAGAAAUCAUUUCUCAAAAGCAUGUUAAACUUUAGACAACACUAACAACUUCGCAAGACAAGGCUUUUUAGCUGUAGAUAACCUUCUUCUCCAUAAAUUGAAGUACAUUUACGUAAUUGAACUGGAUUGAAAGUAUAGUUACUGCAAAUGGAAUUUACCCAUUUUUGUCUACUUGUGUAGGCAUCAUCAAAUAGAAGUGGGGACUCGUCUAACUUUCAACUGGUUGUAUUCUGGAAAUCUAAACAUGAAAUAGUGCAAGGAUUUAUUAUGGGCCAUGGCCUACAUUACCAAUGGUUCGUUCAACCAGCAAAUUAUCAAGGUUUUCCAGCGGUUCAGUCAAAUCAACUACCUUUGUUAAAUAAAAUAAAUUAUAUAAAAAGACCAUUACCU
This 471-nucleotide long non-coding RNA is filed under the name Olea europaea (common olive). RNAcentral's name for it is "long non-coding RNA (OEUR_LNC004949)". Lineage: Eukaryota; Viridiplantae; Streptophyta; Magnoliopsida; Lamiales; Oleaceae. The record is from RNAcentral.